This 1558-nucleotide long non-coding RNA is filed under the name Homo sapiens (human). Its description in RNAcentral is "LHRI_LNC1374.2". The record is from RNAcentral. Lineage: Eukaryota; Metazoa; Chordata; Mammalia; Primates; Hominidae.
CUCUGCAAGCAUGGAGUUCAUUCCAGAGGAGGUUAGAAUCACUCAGCAUGAAGAGAGGGUGUAACAGGAUGUUGUCUCUGCUGAGGAAGUGGGGCUGCCACCCGAUGGAUUGGAUGGAUUGUCGGUCAUCCCCGCAGGAGAGGCUGGGCCAGGUUGUGGUGCGUCCAACCCCCAGCCCUCUGGGCAGACCGGUUGUGAUCUAAGUCAUUUCAAGGGUUUCUCAAUGGACCGAUUGCCAGAGGUUGGGGUGUCAAGAAUUUGGGGUAUCAAGGUUAAGUACAAAACAUGGAUCUUUGUCUGACAAGACAGGCUGGCCGCUGACUGUUAAAUACUUCCCCACAAAAGGGACAAGCCCGGAGCCAGGUUACCGGCCCACACCGCAAGACAGGCUUUCUUUUAGGAAAUGGACAAAGCUCUAUGACCAGAACAAGCACUUUGGGGAAUUUAAAUUUGCUUUCCCUGACACGACUCCACUUUCAUCACUACCCCUGAACUUAAGGGGCAUCCAAACCUCAGUCUCAGCAGAGGCUGGUGGGAUUCAGGCCACAUACCCCGGCACAUCAGCGUUCCGUUGUUACACAUUUGAAUACUCCCAAGCCAGUUGGUAAACAGUUGACUCUCCGGGACCCCUUGCACGUUUCCACGACUCAGCAAUCAACGUGGAGCUGAACUGGCUGUGAAGCGUUUUGAGCACUGCCCGUGUUUGUCUCACAGCCCUCACGGGAAUCCCGGUUAAUAUACUCAAUGAGCGGAGCCCUGAAAACCCCGCCUGCCACCUCGUGCAGCUGUGUCACUGGGAUGGACACAGGAAGCAAUGUGGGGUCUUUGCUGCCAGUGAGCUCCCGGUCUAGGAGAAGAGAGAGGAAGCAUCUUUAUCUGUGUUAUCCCAGGUACGCGUGCCAAUUAUAUGUCUGUAUCCUUAUCUGUGUCUACAUAUACACCUACAUCUACAUCUACAGUCAUAUCAAUAUCUAUACCCAUACCCAUAUCUCUAUAUUUCUACAUCUAUACCCAUAUCACAGCUGUGUCUAUAUCUGUUAAGUCAUUCUUGCAUUGCUAUAAAGAAAUACCUGAGACUGGGUCAUUUACAAAGAAAAGAGGUGGAAUUGGCUAACGGUUCUGCAGGCUGCGCAAACAUCGUACCAGCAUCUGCUCCGCUUCUGGGGAGGCCUCUGGGAGCUUUUGCUCAUGGCGGAAGGUGAAGCAGGAGCAGGUGUGUCACAUGGACAGAGCUGAAGUCAGAGAGAGAGAGAGUGGGUUGGGGGAGCUGCCACACACUUAAACACCCAGACCUCCUGAGAACUCACUCACCAUUGUGAGGACAGCACAAAGCCACGAGGGAUCUUCACCCACGAACUAAACCCCUCCCGCCAGACCCCAUCUCCAACACUGGAGAUUACAACUCAACAUGAGACUUGGGUGGGGACAAAUAUCUAAACUAUAUUACUAUAUCUAUAUCUAUAUACAUCUAUGUCCAUAGCUACAUCUAUGUCCACAUCUGUAUCUGUAAUCUGUGUGUUCAGAUAGAUACACAUGUCUUUUUACAAAGAAAAUAAAG